CGCCUGCGAGUUUGUUCCCCGAGUUUGCGUGAUAACGCGAGCAACUCGCGUGUUGAAGGCGAAACGUGAAACGUGUUGCACGGUUAGAAACGCGUGCAUAAACGAGAAAUAGUUAUUGCGCAUGCUCAGCGUGCAGCGUGCGCUACCGCGCAAAUAAAUGUUCCCCUGCGCAUGCCCAGCGUGCCAAACCGAGAAGGUUAAAUGCGCAUGCCCAGCGUGCAAAACCGAGCAGUUUAAAUACGCAUGCUCAGCGUGCAAUGGAUUUAAGUGUUCAUCGGCUUACUGUUCUAGUUUGAAAGAUAUAUGAUAUUUCUUUCAAAUUUUAUUUUUGAUUUGAAAUUUAUCUUUUUGAUCAUUUCCGUAAAGAUUUUUUUUUUUUUUUUGUAAACAGUAUACCCGGAAAGUAGUGUAGACAGGAUAUAGUAGAUAUUGUCUACGUCAUAAAAAGACGGCAGUUCCACUGCUUAUCAAAGCGGCGACCCUGAAAUUCUAUAUCGCCAAGAAUUUGAAUUCGCAUUCCAUCAGUAAGUGUUGAAAUGUAACUAAAGUUACGCUUGAUUUUAUUGAGCACUAUGUACAGUAUGAUAAACACAGAUAUAAAAUAUAGCUUCAGUGUAUCUCACAUAAUUUCGCGCAUUUGAAAGAUUGCGCAAAUGUAAUUACAAUCAAAUUGACUAACAGUGGUGACUUCCCUUUAAUAAUUUUACACCAUUUGCUGUCAACGAAGGUGUUGUCAUCAGCUGUUGAAAAUGUGAAAUAUUCAUGUUGGUUUUACUAGUUCUGCGAUGUGUGUGCAAUUCCACAUCUGAGCACUGUAAGGUCUGGCAGCAAAAUAAAGAUAUAUUCAAAUGGAUCUGUGCUGUGUCUCACAUCUGACAUCAUACUAGAAAAGGGUCAUGUAAACGUAACAAAAAGUCAUGCGAAUGGACAUCAAAAUGUUGACACAGAUCGGUAUUUGAGACUUAAAUAUUCAGGAUAUAACUUCAUAAAACUGGCGGAUAAACCAAGCUGCGAAGGUGCUUUCGAAUGGCAAGUAAAACAGUUGUGUCUCUUCGUAGGAACGAUGAUACAAUAUUUACGUAUGCAUUCAAAUGAUGCUGUUCAAGGUAACAAUCAAAUGAUGCUGUUCAAGGUAACAAGAAGAAGUUAACAUUUGGCAGUGUGAGAAAGGAAAUUUACUUCUGCAUGACGGGAAAAUGAUAUUUGCAUGCAUAUUUUAUCGGAGGCAGCUGCAAAACCACCAACAGGAAACUCUUUUUGAUAUUAUGUUGUGAUAGACUAUUUGACUGUUUUCGGCCCGCUUUUGGCGAGACGGUAUUACGAUAGUUUUAUAUGAAAAUCUGCGAUAAAGUCCGAAAAUCUCGCUUGUGGAGAGAAGAAACUCGAUUAUGAUGUUCCCGCUAAGGAAAAAAAAAUCUUGCGUCGAACCAGAAGCUGUGUGAAUACAUCCCCGAGAAGAAAGUCACUACGUCGGCCAGCUGCAGUUUUUUACCAUCAUCUGAAGAUAGUAUCUUUCAGGAAUAAAGGCUUUUGGCUGGACCAGCUACUCUGCCUAACUGUGACCUCAUUUUCUCUGUCUCUCCUUCCGGUGGUGCUCAAAUUCCGGAGCUCUCGAUCCAUAGGCAGACGCCAUACGACUGAGCUAUCAUGGCACACGAUUCCGUUAACAGUGCUGUGAUUGUGUCUAAUUGUAGAGCGAUGUUUAAAAAUGUUAAAAUAAUUAUUUACGACGUUAAGUCAGCAACAGCAACAUACUAGCGUUUUUAUAAAGCUAAGCUUGUUUUACAAUUAAUGUGCGAAGCCACUGCUGCAGACGACAAUUUAUAUUGGAAGCGAGACAAGAACAGACGAAUACAAUACAUAUCACUUCGCGCUAAGGUAACCACGUAGACAGUUUGUUGAGGUAUUGACUCAUUAAAGCUAUUUUGACCUUGUCUUCACAAUAGCAGUUUCAUUUAUGAUUUUACUCUAACUAAACUUGCGCACAACUUGUAACACCACAAGAUCUUGGUUCCAUUCUUGAACUGGGCAGAUUCCAUCAUGGAUUCUAUAGAGUUAUGCCCCCCCCCCCAAAGGUCCAAAAUUGGCUAUGUUGGCCUUUGCAACCAUAUAGAUUUCUUUUAUGGUUUGACUUGAUACGAACUUCCAAAAUAGCUUCAACAACAAUAAAUCUUGGAUUCCAUGAGUUAUUUUAUAUCUGAUUACCUCCCCUGAUUGUCAUCAAAAUGGAUUUAUAUCAGUAAGUACUUAUAGGACUUAUUUGAAAUUUCAUUAUUGUCUUACUGGCUUACGGAAGGUCGGUGGUUCUACCCAGGUGCCCGCUCCUGAUGAAAUAGUGCACGGAGGGGCACCUGGGGUCUUCCUCCACCAUUAAAAGCUGGAAAGUCGCCAUAUGACCUUAAAUUGUGUCGGCGCGAUGUUAAACCCAACAAAAUAAAAAAAUAAAAUCAUUAUUGUCAUUAGUUGGAUUGAGACAAUCAGGGUAGGUAACCAUGGACUGAUUUCAAAUUACCUCCCUUUAUUUGAAAUUAAAAUGGAUAUAUCUCCGUAACAAACGAAGAUAAUGAUUUGAAAUUGCAUUUAUGUCAACAGACAGACUUGGACAAUCACUGAAGAUACAUAUUGGCUGAAUCUAUGACAAAUUACCUCCCUUUAUUUUUUAUCUAAAUGAGGACACCUUAGCAUCUUCAAAUGAGAUUUGUUUGAAACGUUAUUUAUGUCUUUCAUGGUAAGAAAUAAUCGUAUUAUGUAACUUUUGAUAGAACAUUUAUCGAUAUAAAUACUUUACUAAUAUAUUGUUGUAUAGGCUUGUACUGUGUAUCUUCUACAUGCAUAUACCAAUGCAUCAUUACCUCCCCUGAUUUUAAUAAAAAUGGAUGUUGAUAGAACUCAUUUGGAAUGUCAUUAUUGUUUUUAGUUUGACUGAGGCAACCAGGGUAGAUAGUGUGGACUGAUUUUAUGUCAAAUUACCUCCCUUUGUAGCCCGCCCGCUUAGCCCAGUAGGUAAGAGCGUUGGUCUACGGAUCUCGGGGUCGCGAGUUCGAUCCUCGGGCGGGGCGUAUAUUCUCCGUGAUUAUUUGAUAAACGAUAUUGUGUCUGAAAUCAUUAGUCCUCCACCUCUGAUUCAUGCGGGGAAGUUGACAGUUACUUGCGGAGAACAGGUUUGUACUGCUACAAAAUCCAGGAAUACUGGUUAGGUUAACUGCCCGCCGUUACAUGACUGAAAUACUGUUGAAAAACGGCGUUAAACCCAACAAACAAACAAAAACCUCCCUUCGUUUCAAAUUAAAAUGGUUGUAUCUCAGUAACCAAUGAAGACACUGAUUUGAAAUGUCAUUUGUGCCAUCAGAUGGACUCGAACAAUCAGGGUAGAUAACUUUUGACUGAAUUUAUGACAAAUUACCUCCCUUUAUUAUUUGUAAACGAAUAUAUAAGUAUGUAAGGAAUAUCGUGUUAGUAAAAAAAUGCAGCAUUUGAGCCUAGGACCCUCUAUGUCAAAACUUGAUCAUAUCAUUUUGAGCAAUGGUACUCCGGUGAGCGAUACAGGGCCAUCAUGGCUCUCUGGUUUAUUUUUGUAAUUGGAAAACGCACCACGUAGAGGUUGCUUAUUACGAAAAUGAUAUUUUUGUUUUAAAAGAUAAUUACUUUAAAAUAUUUUGUGUUUUUAGGAUAGAUGAUACAUUGGUUUUUAUCACAUGACGUGUUUAAAACAUGUAAAGGUAGCUGUUCCUGUUUUAUUUUGCUUCUUACUGUAUUUUCUUUCGAUAUAAAUAAUAUUUUAUAGUAUCAAUAAAGUUGAUGUUUCA
Mercenaria mercenaria is the source of this 3806-nucleotide long non-coding RNA. RefSeq lists it as uncharacterized. The record is from RefSeq and is a predicted model, not a curated record. The transcript has 3 exons. NCBI's taxonomy places the organism in Eukaryota, Metazoa, Mollusca, Bivalvia, Venerida, Veneridae.